UUGACUUUUUACAAAUUAUAUUGGGAUCUUUUCCCACUUACAUGAACAUUCAUACUUUGUUUGUCCAAAACACCAACAAACCCUAGGAAUAUGCAUGAGAUUAAGAGAAGGAAUGUUGGUUUUGCACAACCGUCUCACAAAGGAAAGAUCAAAGCCAGGCAGAGCAGUGCCAAUCCAGAUGAGCAGGGCCUUUUUCUAGGUUCUAAACACAAGGGAUUUGCUGAAUUGCAAAGGUGAUUUGUUAAGACACAUACCUUUGAUAUUUGAAAGAACUGUUUACAGAAGACUAUUGAAUUGCACAGGAUUGAUGAUUAAAAGAUUCAACUACAGUUCAAUGAGGCUCAACAUAUUGUGAUGCCAAUAUUGCGCACUUGAGUAGGAAGAUCAAAAUGUUUGUAGCAAAUGGACAUAAGUAAAUAGCGUGCCUUCAAACUGACCAAUAUUUCUGAAGUGAAGGAUGACAACUUAGUCUCUAUUUGUUGGGAAAUUUUAUAGCCAUGUUUGAACCUCAAGAACAGAUAUACAAAACCUGAAUGACAGAUACAUGUAAAAUAAUAAGACAUG
Mytilus californianus (California mussel) is the source of this 564-nucleotide long non-coding RNA. RefSeq lists it as uncharacterized. NCBI's taxonomy places the organism in Eukaryota, Metazoa, Mollusca, Bivalvia, Mytilida, Mytilidae. The record is from RefSeq and is a predicted model, not a curated record. The transcript has 3 exons.